This 848-nucleotide small RNA is filed under the name Pan troglodytes (chimpanzee). RNAcentral describes it as "processed transcript". The record is from RNAcentral. Lineage: Eukaryota; Metazoa; Chordata; Mammalia; Primates; Hominidae.
CCGCCUCAUCUCCCACUACUUCCCGCACUUUUACCCUUUUUUUACCCUUUUGCGGAGCCUGCCCUGCACCCUCCGGACCUGCGCCCCGCAGCGGCGUCCACCAUCCACUCUGCACCCUAGCUGCAGCCCGACCCAGAGCCAGAAGGAGACUCAGACGACAGCACUGCCCUGGGCACCCUGGAGUUCACACUUCUUUUUGAAGCGGACAACAGUCCUCAUCGUGCCAAGGUGAGGAUGGGGGUGGGUGUUCCUGGGACAGAGGGCUGGGCCACGGGCCUGUCUCAUACCCACUGUCUGUUCCCAGGGCCUCAAGCCAUUGGCCUCAGGCUCCGCAGAUGCCUAUGUCAAAGCCAAUCUGCUGCCAGGGGCCAGCAAGGCCAGCCAGCUUCGGACACGCACCGUUCAGGGCACGAGGGUACCUGUCUGGGAGGAGACACUCACCUAUCACGGCUUCACCCGCCAGGAUGCUGAGUGCAAGACCCUUAGGCUGUGUGUGUGCGAGGACCCAUGGCUGCAGCGACAGCGGCAGGCACCUUCCCUGGGGGAGCUGCGGGUGCCCCUGAGGAAGCUGGUGCCAAACCGAGCCAGGAGCUUUGACAUCUGUCUGGAGAAGCGGAGGCUGGCCAAGAGGCCCAAGAGCCUGGACACAGCCUGCGGCAUGUCCCUCUAUGAGGAGGAGGUGGAGACAGAGGUGGCCUGGGAGGAACAUGGGCGCGUCCUACUGUCACUGUGCUACAGCUCUCAGUGGGCUGGCUUGCUGGAAUUCUUUUACUCAGGCCCACGGGAGGAGCUGGCCCAGAAGACGCUGCUGGUGUCCGUGUGGGACUAUGACCUAGGCACGGCUGAUG